Molecule: ribosomal RNA, 484 nt
Filed under: uncultured bacterium
Lineage: Bacteria
Description: partial 16S ribosomal RNA
Rfam family: Bacterial small subunit ribosomal RNA
Source: RNAcentral
AUUGAACGCUAGCGGGAUGCUUUACACAUGCAAGUCGAACGGCAGCGCGGACUUCGGUCUGGCGGCGAGUGGCGAACGGGUGAGUAAUGUAUCGGAACGUGCCCAGUAGCGGGGGAUAACUACGCGAAAGCGUAGCUAAUACCGCAUACGCCCUACGGGGGAAAGCAGGGGAUCGUAAGACCUUGCACUAUUGGAGCGGCCGAUAUCAGAUUAGCUAGUUGGUGAGGUAACGGCUCACCAAGGCGACGAUCCGUAGCUGGUUUGAGAGGACGACCAGCCACACUGGGACUGAGACACGGCCCAGACUCCUACGGGAGGCAGCAGUGGGGAAUUUUGGACAAUGGGGGCAACCCUGAUCCAGCCAUCCCGCGUGUGCGAUGAAGGCCUUCGGGUUGUAAAGCACUUUUGGCAGGAAAGAAACGUCGCGGGCUAAUACCCCGUGGAACUGACGGUACCUGCAGAAUAAGCACCGGCUAACUACGUG